CACGUGUGAUGUCAGGUAGAGCAGAAUGUGGUGGACGGGUCACGCGUGAUGUCGGGUAGAGCAGAAUGUGGUGGACGGGUCACGCGUGAUGUCGGGUAGAGCAGAAUGUGGUGGACGGGUCACGCGUGAUGUCGGGUAGAGCAGAAUGUGGUGGACCACGUGUGAUGUCGGGUAGAGCAGAAUGUGGUGGACGG
Molecule: long non-coding RNA, 194 nt
Organism: Bufo bufo (common toad)
Lineage: Eukaryota; Metazoa; Chordata; Amphibia; Anura; Bufonidae
Exons: 3
Source: RefSeq, a predicted model, not a curated record